GAUGAACGCUGGCGGCGUGCCUAAUACAUGCAAGUCGAGCGAACGGACGAGAAGCUUGCUUCUCUGAUGUUAGCGGCGGACGGGUGAGUAACACGUGGAUAACCUACCUAUAAGACUGGGAUAACUUCGGGAAACCGGAGCUAAUACCGGAUGAUCUUUUGAACCGCAUGGUUCAAAAGUGAAAGACGGUCUUGCUGUCACUUAUAGAUGGAUCCGCGCUGCAUUAGCUAGUUGGUAAGGUAACGGCUUACCAAGGCAACGAUGCAUAGCCGACCUGAGAGGGGGAUCGGCCACACUGGAACGGAGACACGGUCCAGAGGCCUAAGGGAGGCAGCAGUAGGGAAUCUUACGCAAUGGGGGAAAGCCUGACGGAGCAACGCCGCGUGAGUGAUGAAGGUCUUCGGAUCGUAAAACUCUGUUAUUAGGGAAGAACAGAUGUGGAAGUAACUGUGCACAUCGUGACGGUACCUAAUCAGAAAGCCACGGCUAACUACGUG
Molecule: ribosomal RNA, 497 nt
Filed under: uncultured bacterium
Lineage: Bacteria
Description: partial 16S ribosomal RNA
Rfam family: Bacterial small subunit ribosomal RNA
Source: RNAcentral